AUGUUUCUAUUGUAAAAAGCAAAUCUAUUUUCCAAAUAGAAAGUUGGGUAACCAGAAUCAUA
RNAcentral lists this transfer RNA (62 nucleotides) under Neohydatothrips samayunkur. Its description in RNAcentral is "tRNA-Gly". The record is from RNAcentral. Lineage: Eukaryota; Metazoa; Arthropoda; Insecta; Thysanoptera; Thripidae.